UUCACACCUUCACAAUCAUCACACUCUCACCUUCACUCCCCACCCCUUCCUCUCGGCCCUCCCUUAACCGCCACCAUCACCACCACAAAUCCACCAUCUUCAUCCAUUUAUGAGUUCCAUUCAAGCUUAAAAGGUGAUACAAGGAAGCUUGCAACUUGUGGAGCUUCAAAGGACUUUGUUUCUUGCUUUUUCAUCAUCAUUUUUCAUCACCUUCUUCACUAGAAUCAUUCCUAGCCUUUGUGCUAGUAGUCGUUAGAUGCUUAUGGAUCUUGCACGAGGAGGAGGACGUUGUGGAAUAUGGGUUGUUAUGUCCCGUGCCUAACAAUUAAACUUUAUAAACUUAUGGAACUUAUGUUUUGGUCUUUAAACUUAUAAACUAUGAACUUAUGUUUUGGUUUCAUGUUUUAUGCUUCCGCUGUUUAAUCUGAACUUGGUUAACUCAAAGUUGGUUACUUUCUUUUGGUCACCAAUCGUAUUGUGGUUGGUUCUAUUUACUUAAUUAUGUUGUUCAAUAUGAUUGGUGGCUCGAUCCUGGUCAUGUCACGCCUCCAAGCGGUGAUACUCCGCAUGUGGAUUUUGGGGGUGUGACAGAUUGGUAUCAGAGCGAUUGGUUAUAGUGAACUUGGUUUUAAAAAGGGGAAAGGCUUUUUGAUAAAACCAGACUAUAACCUGUACAGUGGUCAACGAUCCACAACGACGCUUCGCUCCACGUGCAAGACUCGACACAAUAGGUGGUAUGAAUUAUGUUUAAAUUGUCGGUCGUUAGAUGCUUAUGGAGCUUGCACGAGGAGGAGGACGUUGUAGAAUAUGGGUUGUUAUGUCCCGUGCCUAACAAUUAAACUUUAUAAACUUAUGGAACUUAUGUUUUGGUCUUUAAACUUAUGAACUAUGAACUUAUGUUUUGGUUUCACGUUUUAUGCUUCCGCUGUUUAAUCUGAACUUGGU
This 945-nucleotide long non-coding RNA is filed under the name Helianthus annuus (common sunflower). RNAcentral describes it as "hypothetical non coding rna". Lineage: Eukaryota; Viridiplantae; Streptophyta; Magnoliopsida; Asterales; Asteraceae. The record is from RNAcentral.